This 978-nucleotide long non-coding RNA is filed under the name Pan troglodytes (chimpanzee). RNAcentral describes it as "long non-coding RNA NONPTRT018261". Lineage: Eukaryota; Metazoa; Chordata; Mammalia; Primates; Hominidae. The record is from RNAcentral.
CAAGUGUCACAGAAUCCCCCUCUCUGCCCUCCACUCAGAGCGACUCUACCUUGGAAACCAGGGAUUCCCCUUCCCGUCGCCCGCCCCAUUUGAUAUAUGGGCCUGAAAUGUAUGCCAUCCCAUCACCAUCGGACUGGACUGUUCACAGCACUGGAGAGACAGAGGUCCUUCAUUCACUCCAGGUCACAGGCUGUGCGUGUGCAUGCCGAACACCCACAUGCACACAGUUGGUGGCUCAGUCUGAUGUACCUGACUUCUCACGCCUUCCCCCAGUCCUCCAGUACCGUGCCUCUACAUGGGCUGGGCAGCCCCAAACUGAAAUGGCCUUGACCAGAUCUGGCUGCUCCUUGCCAUCUGCCUCGCCUGCCGCCUCCUCUGGAGGCUCGGGUUGCCAUCCUACCUGAAGCAUGCAAGCACCGUGGCAGGCGGGUUCUUCAGCCUCUACCACUUCUUCCAGCUGCACAUGGUUUGGGUCGUGCUGCUCAGCCUCCUGUGCUACCUCGUGCUGUUCCUCUGCCGACAUUCCUCCCAUCGAGGCGUCUUCCUAUCCGUCACCAUCCUCAUCUACUUACUCAUGGGUGAGAUGCACAUGGUAGACACCGUGACAUGGCACAAGAUGCGAGGUAGGUAGCCCUGCCCCUCUCACCUGCCCAACCCCCCUGCCCCACUCCUCGUCUCCUAACUGCCCCCACCCUGUGCCUUUCCUCCCCUGCUUUUCUCCCUCACCUGCCCACCCCACUGGACGUGCAGACCUCACAUUACUCUCGGGUCCGUGUCUCUUUCCACCGUGCAUUUUCCCGAAGUCUGUCUGUCUCGUGUCAUGUAUGUGCCUGACUCUCUGGAGUAAGGGCAUCUAUCUGUCCUGGGCUUCCUUGCCCACCUGCCUAUCUGUCCCAUGCCCACCUAUCCAUCCUUGUGCCCGCUUUUCCUACCACAUCUCACCUGGUGCACCUCCUCCUUGCCAUGCUGAUCUGCUCU